RNAcentral lists this ribosomal RNA (916 nucleotides) under uncultured archaeon. Its description in RNAcentral is "bacterial SSU rRNA". It matches the Rfam family "Archaeal small subunit ribosomal RNA", at positions 1 to 924 of the family's 1478-position model. The record is from RNAcentral.
UCCGGUUGAUCCCGCCGGAGGUUACUGCUAUCGAGGUUCGACUAAGCCAUGCGAGUCGAAUGUAGCAAUACAUGGCGUACUGCUCAGUAACACGUGGACAACCUACCCUUGAGACGGGGAUAAACCCGGGAAACUGGGUAUAAUACCCGAUAGAUCUCGACUGCUGGAAUGCAUCGAGCUCCAAAGCUCCGGCGCUCAAGGAUGGGUCUGCGGCCUAUCAGGUAGUAGUGGGUGUAGCGUACCUACUAGCCUACGACGGGUACGGGUUGUGAGAGCAAGAGCCCGGAGAUGGAUUCUGAGACACGAAUCCAGGCCCUACGGGGUGCAGCAGGCGCGAAAACUUUACAAUGCUGGAAACAGCGAUAAGGGGACCUCGAGUGCCAGGUUACAAAUCUGGCUGUCGUGAUGCCUAAAAAGCAUUGCAUAGCAAGGGCCGGGCAAGACCGGUGCCAGCCGCCGCGGUAACACCGGCGGCUCGAGUGGUAACCGUUAUUAUUGGGUCUAAAGGGUCUGUAGCCGGCCGGAUAAGUCUCUUGGGAAAUCUGGCAGCUUAACUGUCAGGCUUUCAGGAGAUACUGUCUGGCUCGAGGCCGGGAGAGGUGAGAGGUACUUCAGGGGUAGGGGUGAAAUCUUGUAAUCCUUGAAGGACCACCAGUGGCGAAGGCGUCUCACCAGAACGGACCUGACGGCAAGGGACGAAAGCUAGGGGCACGAACCGGAUUAGAUACCCGGGUAGUCCUAGCCGUAAACGAUACUCGCUAGGUGUCGGCCACGGUGCGACCGUUGUCGGUGCCGUAGGGAAGCCGUGAAGCGAGCCACCUGGGAAGUACGGCCGCAAGGCUGAAACUUAAAGGAAUUGGCGGGGGAGCACCACAACGGGUGGAGCUUGCGGUUUAAUUGGAUUCAACGCCGGAAA